RNAcentral lists this ribosomal RNA (491 nucleotides) under uncultured bacterium. RNAcentral describes it as "partial 16S ribosomal RNA". It matches the Rfam family "Bacterial small subunit ribosomal RNA", at positions 29 to 507 of the family's 1533-position model. The record is from RNAcentral.
AGUGAACGCUGGCGGUAGGCCUAACACAUGCAAGUCGAACGGCAGCACAGUAAGAGCUUGCUCUUACGGGUGGCGAGUGGCGGACGGGUGAGGAAUACAUCGGAAUCUACUUUUUCGUGGGGGAUAACGUAGGGAAACUUACGCUAAUACCGCAUACGACCUACGGGUGAAAGCGGGGGAUCUUCGGACCUUGCGCGAUUGAAUGAGCCGAUGUCGGAUUAGCUAGUUGGCGGGUAAAGGCCCACCAAGGCGACGAUCCGUAGCUGGUCUGAGAGGAUGAUCAGCCACACUGGAACUGAGACACGGUCCAGACUCCUACGGGAGGCAGCAGUGGGGAAUAUUGGACAAUGGGCGCAAGCCUGAUCCAGCCAUACCGCGUGGGUGAAGAAGGCCUUCGGGUUGUAAAGCCCUUUUGUUGGGAAAGAAAAGCAGCAGGUUAAUACCCCGCUGUUCUGACGGUACCCAAAGAAUAAGCACCGGCUAACUUCGUG